RNAcentral lists this ribosomal RNA (762 nucleotides) under Vibrio sp. FCH-22. RNAcentral describes it as "bacterial SSU rRNA". It matches the Rfam family "Bacterial small subunit ribosomal RNA", at positions 45 to 785 of the family's 1533-position model. The record is from RNAcentral. Lineage: Bacteria; Pseudomonadati; Pseudomonadota; Gammaproteobacteria; Vibrionales; Vibrionaceae.
GGCCUAACACAUGCAAGUCGAGCGGAAACGACACUAACAAUCCUUCGGGUGCGUUAAUGGGCGUCGAGCGGCGGACGGGUGAGUAAUGCCUAGGAAAUUGCCUUGAUGUGGGGGAUAACCAUUGGAAACGAUGGCUAAUACCGCAUAAUGCCUACGGGCCAAAGAGGGGGACCUUCGGGCCUCUCGCGUCAAGAUAUGCCUAGGUGGGAUUAGCUAGUUGGUGAGGUAAUGGCUCACCAAGGCGACGAUCCCUAGCUGGUCUGAGAGGAUGAUCAGCCACACUGGAACUGAGACACGGUCCAGACUCCUACGGGAGGCAGCAGUGGGGAAUAUUGCACAAUGGGCGAAAGCCUGAUGCAGCCAUGCCGCGUGUAUGAAGAAGGCCUUCGGGUUGUAAAGUACUUUCAGUUGUGAGGAAGGGGGUAGCGUUAAUAGCGCUAUCUCUUGACGUUAGCAACAGAAGAAGCACCGGCUAACUCCGUGCCAGCAGCCGCGGUAAUACGGAGGGUGCGAGCGUUAAUCGGAAUUACUGGGCGUAAAGCGCAUGCAGGUGGUUCAUUAAGUCAGAUGUGAAAGCCCGGGGCUCAACCUCGGAACUGCAUUUGAAACUGGUGAACUAGAGUACUGUAGAGGGGGGUAGAAUUUCAGGUGUAGCGGUGAAAUGCGUAGAGAUCUGAAGGAAUACCAGUGGGCGAAGGCGGCCCCCUGGACAGAUACUGACACUCAGAUGCGAAAGCGUGGGGAGCAAACAGGAUUAGAUAC